This is a long non-coding RNA of Hypomesus transpacificus, 2447 nucleotides long. RefSeq lists it as uncharacterized. The transcript has 2 exons. NCBI's taxonomy places the organism in Eukaryota, Metazoa, Chordata, Actinopteri, Osmeriformes, Osmeridae. The record is from RefSeq and is a predicted model, not a curated record.
ACUACUAAUUUACAUGACCGUCACAUACAACCGUUUUUUUGUAAGCACUUUCUAUUGAAGAAAUACACUGUUAUCCAUAUUCAUGUGGCUUUCCACUUCCUUAAUUUACUUCUGGAGCAAUAAAGUAUCAAUCUAAUCUUCCAAUGAACCCGGUUAACACAAAAUAUCGUACACUGCUAAUCGUCAGCUAACUAAAUGGUAGGCGAAUAGACAAUCAAGCUUGAUAUGAUAUAGUCAUGAACUAGCACUGUUCAAAGAUGUCCAACCCAAGUUCUCAAUGUCUGCAGAAAAACACAAAAGAGAAGAAACCUGCUCUCGCAAUGCAGUGUUAGGCUACCAAUAAAAUAAUUGUGAUAACUUUAAUUUAUCUUCACAGUGCCCGCUCACUAGGGAUAAUUUUCUAUAACAAAUAACGCAAUGCGUCCUCUACUUUUAUGAGGUGACCUGACGCUCAGGCCAUUGACCCUUUAGUGACACCAUCUAUAAGGGUAACACCAUUUUCAUUAUCUGGGAAAUCAUACCCUAACCUUUUGUUACAUUUACUUCUCAUGUAAUACACUUUCCCCUACAUUCAGCCUUAUAACAUACUCCAAACUUACACAAUGUACCAUCAUUAGGCUGCAGUGUCUUGGUAAAGGGGUGAAAAAUACUAAAAAAAAAUACUAGCUACUGUCAUGUGCCAAAUACCUGCUCCUGCUGCGUCUCUAGAAAUGUUCCAUACUAACCUAGCCUAUUACAGCAUAUCUCUCGCGGACGUCACCGCUCGUGACGUGAACCUGUUGUUGAGUGAAGAAGUCGUUGAGAGGCAGCAAACGUUUUGAUCCCGCAUCCUUCAUUUAUAGCUAUAAUACCGUUUGAUAAUCAAUUUGUGUAGAUAUAUGUUCAACUUAAGUUUUAGUGUUGAUAGUUUAGUUCUUUGUUAUUGUGUUUUUUAUAGUGUUUCUUUGUGUAACGCUAGUUGGCUAGUUUAGAGUAAUUUAGCGCACUCCUGUGAAGGUGGGCCACCUGAAGGACACAAUAUGAGGUGUAGAUUCCGGACGAACUGGUGGAGGACGAGGAGGAGGAGUAGGGAGAGGAUGAAGAGGGGUUGACACAAUUAAAAUAUAAGAAAAUUAAUUCAGGCUUUUAAAAUGCAUUUGAAUAUUGUUUGUUUAUACUGUAAAUCGUGUUUUUUCUUCUAUAAGCAUACACAUAAGAAGUUACAAUACACAAUACUUAGCAGCUGCCUGUUAUACUUAAAGUUGAUUUUUUUAAACAAAGAAGUUAAAUUACAUUGUUGAGUUUAAGUGUACACAUUCAGUUCAGUUUUGCACUAUAGGCUAAUAUGCAAUUUAAACUUUGUAUACAAAAAUAUCCAUUAAAUGCAUAAAUGUGACUAUAAAUUAAAGCUGAGAAAUUGAUUCUGCAUUUGGUAUGCAAAAGUUAUCAGGAUGUCGCAAGGGAACGUCCCCAUGACUUCGCAGACAAACGUCCCCUGAACGUAAUAGUUAUGAGGACGUUACAUGGACGUCCCGGGGACGUUUGUCUGCGACGUCCCCAGGACUUUCAGGGGACCCUACAAAAAAAACGUAAUGGGGGCGUUCCCUUGACGUCCUGAUAACAUUCGGGGACGUCCUGGGGACGUCAUUUUGUCAGCUGGGAUGAUGCUUUUAUAUUUGAUUUAUUAUUAUUAUGUUUUUAAUGUUUAUAAUUUUGAAAACCAGGCUAAGAAACGUAAGGGUGGGGCUGAAAAAUGGAGACAAAAAGACUUGACCUUCACUAGACUAGGUUUUAUGAUAAUUAUACUUGGAUAAUUUAGAGUGAGAUAUAGGCCUAUGCCUGAUGCCAAAACAUUUGAAAUCACAAACUACCAUACAGCCAUACGUUUAACGUGGCAAUGGUGUGUAUCAAAUCAUUGUUCAUCAUUGUUUAAUGUAUUAGGUUAAAUGUUGUGUAGCCUAUGUAGCCUAUUUAAGUUAAUUUUCUGUAAAUAUAACCUACAUAUUGAACUGAUGAGAAUAAGAAAAUUAGAAUGUCCGUGGUAAAUCAUUGUUUUCCCGUUGGGUCAGUGUUACAGGAACGUCUGGUUAAGCAACAACACGGUCUAAGCCUGACAAUUAGCCUGCCCCGGACCAGGCUAGUUUAGAAGCAUAAGUUACCAUAGCAACUGAGUUUGAACUACGUUUAGCUAGCUUUAUGGAACUGAAUGAACUAGAAAUGAGUUUAACUAACUGACAUAAGUGUGGCUUAUUCGGUAAACUCGCUUUAUGGAACAGGCCUCAGGUUUAUAACAACAGUCUUAUUUACAAGAUUCGACUGGCAACACUAAUUGAUUUAACACUGCAAAAUGUUAAUUAUAUAAAGUUCCCCCUACAUGUACACAAUCUGUACCACAGUGUUUGUCAUGAAGAACUCUCAGAGAAAGGAGGAAAAAAGGUCCAAUUCUCUUUUUGGGUAAUAAAAAUAAA